This 435-nucleotide long non-coding RNA is filed under the name Helianthus annuus (common sunflower). RNAcentral describes it as "hypothetical non coding rna". Lineage: Eukaryota; Viridiplantae; Streptophyta; Magnoliopsida; Asterales; Asteraceae. The record is from RNAcentral.
UUGAGCUCGGAAAAUUUGAACUCUUUAAGAUUACUUGGCAUUCUGGAGAAACUAGGAUAAUAUUUGGACAUUUUUAAUUUAGUUGUUGGAUCAUGGAUACUUUGGUCACUUGACUCCGAUCCAGAUGCAGUACGAUCUGUAAAUCCAGAGCUCAAGGACCGGAUUGUGCUUUGUGUUGGACUUAUUGGCGGUUCAUCCUUGCCGUCACAGUAAGGGAACUGAAAGCACAUCAUAGUGUCUCAAAGGGCCCUGUAUCGCCUGCAAAACCACAAUAGUGAUCGCUACAGCUAGCGAUAUGUAUUUAUUACCUUAACCACCAGCUGGCGAUCACAAGAAAUCAAAACUGAAUUAUCCAAGAAGAAAAAGAGCAAUUGAAUAGAGAAACAGGAUGCAAACUGGAGAGGAUGGAAGUUUUGACUUUUGACCAAACCGAUG